GAUUCUGUAGGACUCCAAGUUAUAGUCAUACCUAACUACCAAGAUGAGUGAAAAGCCUUCUAGAGAGCAUGAGCUAAAUGAAUGGCUAAUCAAGUAACAUAAAACCUAUUUUCUAGAAGCAGAGAAUGACUAAGAGAAAGACCUAGUCACAAGAUGAAGAAUUAUGAAUCUGUUAAAAUUCUAUAACAUUUAUGAAGAUUCUUGGCAGGCCAAAAUGGAUUGAGGAAAUGACAAAUCCAAAUUUAGGUAUUUUUUAAAGAAUUUUCAAUUAUGUCCAUGCCAAUUCAAUUUCUAUGAAGACUUUUCAUUCAGGGAUUAUGGAGCAUGAGAGAGGAUGCCAGGUGCAGGCCCUGUGACAGCUUUGAGCAGAAUACAGAAGUGAUGCUACUAGCUUUGUCCCCAGGCUGUAAUCCACUAUCAGCUUCCUGUCUCUUGGGACACUCUCUUUGGAAGCCCUGAGCUACCAAGUAAGAAAUUCAACUGCUGUGGGACCACCAUGUUGUAGUGGCACAUGAGGUGUUGAGUCAAUAGUCCCAGCUGAACCCAGCCUCCCAUCCAUCUACUCCUAAGGUACCAUCCAUUCCAAAAGACUAUCUCCUCCAAGGCACUAAGGAGAAGCCUUGUUGAACUUUCCAAUCCAGCACAUUUGCAACUGACUAACAUCAAGUAACCUCUGUUGAUGUCCAACGGAAGAAUAAUCUCCUUACCCAAAUUUCUGACCAUAAAAACCAUGAUACAUAAUGAAAUCCCAUUCUUUUAUGCUACUAAA
Felis catus (domestic cat) is the source of this 769-nucleotide long non-coding RNA. RefSeq lists it as uncharacterized. NCBI's taxonomy places the organism in Eukaryota, Metazoa, Chordata, Mammalia, Carnivora, Felidae. The record is from RefSeq and is a predicted model, not a curated record. The transcript has 2 exons.